Molecule: non-coding RNA, 123 nt
Organism: Paramuricea clavata
Lineage: Eukaryota; Metazoa; Cnidaria; Anthozoa; Malacalcyonacea; Plexauridae
Source: the annotation of a GenBank genome assembly
UGAGCUUCUCUUGAGUGUCAAUGGUGUUUUUGAAUAGCUGGAGGGUGAGUAGUCACAUAGUAAGGUAUGACACUAGCCCUCCAGCUAUUCAAAAACACCAUUGACACUCAAGAGAAGCUCAGA